AUACGUAGGGGGCGAGCGUUGUCCGGAAUGAUUGGGCGUAAAGGGCGCGUAGGCGGCCCGGUAAGUCUGGAGUGAAAGUCCUGUUUUUAAGAUGGGAAUUGCUUUGGAUACUGUCGGGCUUGAGUGCAGGAGAGGUUAUCGGAAUUCCCGGUGUAGCGGUGAAAUGCGUAGAGAUCGGGAGGAACACCAGUGGCGAAGGCGGGUAACUGGACUGCAACUGACGCUGAGGCGCGAAAGUGUGGGGAGCAAACAGGAUUAGAUACCCUGGUAGUCCACACUGUAAACGAUGAAUGCUAGGUGUAAGAGGUAUCGACCCCUUUUGUGCCGGAGUUAACACAAUAAGCAUUCCGCCUGGGGAGUACGGCCGCAAGGUUGAAACUCAAAUGAAUUGGCGGGG
RNAcentral lists this ribosomal RNA (397 nucleotides) under uncultured bacterium. RNAcentral's name for it is "partial 16S ribosomal RNA". It matches the Rfam family "Bacterial small subunit ribosomal RNA", at positions 523 to 918 of the family's 1533-position model. The record is from RNAcentral.